GGGCGCUGGCGGUCCACGCACCGCUCUUACCUCGGGCGGACAUCCGAAGGGUCACGGCCGCUGGACAUGCUGUCUUUUGCAACCCCGGCCCCAGCAGGCGCUUUACAGUGAGGGGUCUCCCGCAAGAGAGGGCAAGAACCAUCCUAAGCCCCGCUCGCGGAGGGCGGGAAAAGGGGAAGACGGCUAGGUUGGUCCUGCCCACCGGAAAGUCGGAAGAGUAAGAGUAGCAAGAAGCCUUGGGGCUGCAGGUGGGACCUCAGGGAGCCGUGUCUACUAGGAGGACGCGUGGACACGUCCCUCCUGGAGUUUCGAUUCAAAAUGCGCCCCGAAUGAGGUAGCGCCGCUCUCACUAGGAGCAAAAGAUCCGUCCACGUCGGUUCCAGAAACCUCGUGUCCCCCAGGCCUGCCCGCCCGCCUCACCUGCCAGGCGGCUGAACUCGCGCGCCCGCAGCUCGCGCAGGCUGCCCUGGCCGUAGCCGUAGGCUAGCCGCGGUGCGCUCGGGUCCCGGGAACCCGCGAAGGUCCACAGCUCCCGCCCUGACUCCGCCGCCGCGCCGGCCAUGGCCCCGGCUAGUCCGUCCAGGCUGGCCGGGCCCGGGAAGUGCGCGAAGCCGGCCCCCGGCGACUCCGCCCCCGCCGCGCCUCCCAGGCCUCCAGCCUCCAGUCUCUCGGAAUCCGCAGCCUAGGUGUGGCGCCCCGACCGGACUUUCACUUCUGGCCAGCCCUUUCCCCACCUGGGCGCGGGAGCGGGUGCCCGUCUUUAAACAACCUCUCGAUGGGUCCCACGAAGAUGUUUCCAGACCCUUGGAAUGCCAAGUUCAAGUUUAGCUAUGUCUCGCGGAGAGGCCGGUGGAAGAAGCAACGAGAAUGAAGCACCCCAGUUCUCUGCUGAGCACAUGGGCAUCUGCAAUAAAGAUUUAAUUUCCCAGCUUCUCCUGAAGCUCGGUAUGGCCACAACACUAAAUUCUGCCCGAGGAGAUUAAGCAAAAUAGUAUGGGACUUCCAAGAAAUGUUUUUAAAGUCAGGGGCAGGCCUUUCUUCAUGCCUUCUUCCUCUUUGCUGGCUGGAAUGCAAAGACCAUGGCAGGAGGCCAAGCAGCCAUCCUGGAAGGUGAAAGCCUCAUACUAAGGACGUCAGACAGCAAAAUAAGAGCCUGGGUCCUUGACCCUGUAGACAUCUCCCUCCCCAUCCUGGUCUGUCUGCCUUGACUCCUUUCAUAUAAGAGAAAUAAACUUUUAACUUGUGUAAACCAGA
This 1254-nucleotide long non-coding RNA is filed under the name Pan troglodytes (chimpanzee). RNAcentral's name for it is "long non-coding RNA NONPTRT007745". Lineage: Eukaryota; Metazoa; Chordata; Mammalia; Primates; Hominidae. The record is from RNAcentral.